RNAcentral lists this unclassified non-coding RNA (2789 nucleotides) under Populus alba x Populus glandulosa. RNAcentral describes it as "26S-18S intergenic spacer". The record is from RNAcentral. Lineage: Eukaryota; Viridiplantae; Streptophyta; Magnoliopsida; Malpighiales; Salicaceae.
GUCGCUCCGAUUCGUCCCCCUCGGCCCCUCUAGGGGCACGACGUCGAGGAGGCUGGGAUGGGAUGGGAUCGGGCAGCGCUCCCGGGAUCUCGGGACUGGAUAGUCCAAGGCUUGAAGAGAAAGACUGUUGGUCUAGACAUCGGGGCAGUAGCAGCGAUGCCAACAAUGGGAAAAAUCGGCAACGCUGAUUUGUGCAGCUGAAGGUCCGUCGGGGAAAAUCGGCAUCGCAGAUUUGUUGAUGAACAUGGGCUGGACGCUGGGCUGUCCAGGCCAGGCAGGAAAAUUCGUCAAGGGGAUGCGCUGACGAAACAGGGGCUGUUCAGACACAGCGGGCAAUGUUGGAAUCGGCAGCACCGACGAAAUUGGCAAAGUCGGCAGAAACGGCAGCAGGUGCUGACGAUGAGUCUGGAUGAUUUAUAGUCCUAGGCUUGAUGAAAAUGGCUGGUGGCCUAGACACACACUGGGCAGUGGCAGCGAUGCCACCAGUGGGAAAAAUUGGCAGCGCGGAUUUGUGCAGCUGGAGGCCCGUCGGGAAAAAUCGCCAUCGCAGAUUUGUUGACGAACAUGGGCUGGACAUUGGCCUGUCCAGGCCAGGCUAGAAAAUUCGUCAAGGGGAUGCGCUGACGAAACAAGGGUUGUUCAGACACAACAUGCAGUGUUGGAAUCGGCAGCGCCGACGAAAUCGACAAAGUCGACAGAAUCGGCAGCAGGUGCUGACGAUGAGUCUGGACGAUUUAUAGUCCUAGGCUUGAUGAAAAGGGCUGGUGGCCUAGACACACACUGGGGCAGUGGAAGCGAUGCCACUAGUGGGAAAAAUCAGCAGCAUGGAUUUGUGCGGCUGGAGGCCCGUCGGGGAAAAUCGGCAGGGCAGUUUUGUUGACGAACAUGGGCUGGAUGCUAGGCUGGCCAGGCGGUAAAAUUCAUCAAGGGGGUAGGCUGAUGAAGCAGUUCCUGUUGAGACAAAGCGAGAGGUGUUGGGAUCGGCAGCGCCGACGAAAUAGGCAAAGUUGGCAGAAUCGACAGCAGGUGCUGGCGAUGAGUCUAGACGAUUUAUCAUCCUAGGCUUGACGAAAAAGAUUGGUGGCCUAGGCACACACUUGGGCAGUGGCAGCGAUGCCACCAGUGGGAAAAAUUGGCAGCGUGGAUUUGUGCAGCUGGAGGCCCGUCGGGGAAAAUUAGCAGCGCAGAUUGCUUGACGAACAGGGGCUGGAUGCUAGGCCGGCAAGGCCAGGCAGGAAAAUUAGUCAAAGGGGUGCGUUGACAAAACAGGGGCUGUUCAGACACAGCAGGCAGUGUUGGAAUCGGCAGCGCCGCCAAAAUCGGCAGAAUCGACAGCCGGCACUGACGAUGAGUCUGGAAUGUUUAUAGUCCUAGGCUUGACAAAAAAUACAUGGGGGGCCUCAUGGCCCGAAGUGAUGCCGCCAUCGAUGACCGUUUUCCGGUCGGCGACGACCCGAUUCCGGCCACCGUCCCCGGGACCCACUCCAAGCCAUUGGGCAUGUUGGGGCUGCUUAUCUGUGGCCUGGGCAUGGGACAUUCAUUUUCCGCACUCGUGCCAAGGUGCUGGCAGCUGCUGCGCGCCUGUCAGCUUGGCGCGACGUCACGAUUCCAGCCACCGUCCACAUGACCUGCUCUAAGCCGUUGGGCGCGUUGGGGUUGCUUAUCUACGGCGUGGGCGUGGGGCAUUCAUUUUCCAUGCUCGUGCCAAGGUGCUGGCAGCUGCUGCGUGCUUGUCAGCUUGGCGCGACGUCCCGACGACGACUCGAUUCCGGCCACCAUCCCCUUGACCCGCUCCAAGUCGUUGGGCGUGUUGGGGCUGCUUAUCACGGCAUGGGUGUGGGGCAUUCAUUUGCCGCACUCGUGCCAAGGUGCUGGCAACUGCUGCGCGCCUGUUAGCUUGGUGCUCACAAGUUGGAGGCCUGGCCGACGUGUCUGGUGCGGACCGCCGAGCUUGGGAUUGCGAGGAGAGCUCUAUGCUAGCAUGGGCGUGGCAUUAAAUUGCCGUGCACGUGCCCAUGUGUUGGCUCUCCUCGCCAUCCCUGACCUCGCGGCGCGAGGUGCCCGCUAUUGAGGCCGGGCCUCCGUCUUUCGAGCUGAGGCAGACGACCCCCCGUAUGAUUGUCCCUGUUGCUCCCCCCCGCGGCUUGUCCCUUCGAGAUCCUCCACGUCCCCCGCGGCUUGUUGCUUGUCCCUUCGAGAUCCCCCGCGUCCCCCGCGGCUUUUUGCUUGUCCCUUUAUGAUCCUUUGCGUUCCCCAGCGGCGUGUUGCUUGUCCAUUCGAGAUCCUUUCGCGUCCAGCGGUGCGGGCACGAUCUCUCUCAGGUGUUUCCACUUGCCCUCGUGGCCGUGGUUCGCUCGUCAUGAGCGGUAAUUGGGUUGUUCGUGUUGGCAGGCUCCGUGCUUGUGCACCGAACUGUCGGCCUGCUACCCCCAUCACUCUCAGCCCAAGGCCCUGGGUGCCUUGCGGGGAGGUGGGGUUCCUGUGCUGCAUACCCACUUCGAUGGAAUUUGAAUGUGAACCUAGCAGCGGCGCCCGUGUUCCAGUUGAGCGGAAUCCCGCCGAACUGGCCCACGCGUGAUCGCUUGUGCUUUUGGAUGCGGAACGCGAUGCUGGUACGGGGGCUCUGCCCCUGCGACCGCCUCGUUCAAGCCGCUCGUGCUCGAUGAGAACGACUUCCUCGCCCGUCUCGGCCCCUCGUCUCAUCGGCGUCGGGAAUCGUGCGGGUCGUGGUGUCGCCAAGGAAUGCUACCUGGUUGAUCCUGCCAGUAGUCAUAUGCUUGUCUCAAACA